CGGACGGGUGAGUAAUGUCUGGGAAACUGCCUGAUGGAGGGGGAUAACUACUGGAAACGGUAGCUAAUACCGCAUAACGUCGCAAGACCAAAGAGGGGGACCUUCGGGCCUCUUGCCAUCGGAUGUGCCCAGAUGGGAUUAGCUAGUGGUGGGGUAACGGCUCACCUAGGCGACGAUCCCUAGCUGGUCUGAGAGGAUGACCAGCCACACUGGAACUGAGACACGGUCCAG
This 231-nucleotide ribosomal RNA is filed under the name uncultured bacterium. RNAcentral describes it as "partial 16S ribosomal RNA". It matches the Rfam family "Bacterial small subunit ribosomal RNA", at positions 99 to 334 of the family's 1533-position model. The record is from RNAcentral.